RNAcentral lists this long non-coding RNA (426 nucleotides) under Homo sapiens (human). RNAcentral's name for it is "HSALNT0286325". The record is from RNAcentral. Lineage: Eukaryota; Metazoa; Chordata; Mammalia; Primates; Hominidae.
GUGAGCAGGUGCACUCGCGGGCCCCAGGCAGCCUGGGAGGCCGCUGCCAAGACACGCAGUGGGUUGUCCGGGGCCUGUACAGCUGAGAGGAGGGAGCCAGCGGGCACGCGUGUGCGUGUGUAGGGGGUGUAACUGUUUCUGUUACAGACUUGCCAGAUGUAGGGGGGCGCGUACCAGGCGCCAACAUCCCCUUAUCACACCACGCGCACCCAUCCUCUGAAUGUUCAGGAGAGCGGCUCCUAUUGGCUGCCGCAGUCGGUUGUGUUUGGCUGGCCAAUGGGGAAGGCCCGCCGCGGGAGAGGGCCACACAGAGGCUAGGAGAAGGGGGGGAAGCUAGUGGUGGCAGUUCCAGCAAAAGGGGACUUUGUUUACGGGGCUAGCCAUUACUGGCCCAGGUGGAGGAUCUUGGGACAAUGGCAUAAGCUC